RNAcentral lists this ribosomal RNA (507 nucleotides) under uncultured bacterium. RNAcentral describes it as "bacterial SSU rRNA". It matches the Rfam family "Bacterial small subunit ribosomal RNA", at positions 975 to 1482 of the family's 1533-position model. The record is from RNAcentral.
CAAGGCUUGACAUAUACCGAAAACUCAUAGAGAUAUGGGGUCCUUUUGGGCGGUAUACAGGUGGUGCAUGGUUGUCGUCAGCUCGUGUCGUGAGAUGUUGGGUUAAGUCCCGCAACGAGCGCAACCCUCGUUCUAUGUUGCCAGCACGUAGUGGUGGGGACUCAUAGGAGACCGCCGGGGUCAACUCGGAGGAAGGUGGGGAUGACGUCAAAUCAUCAUGCCCCUUAUGUCUUGGGCUGCAAACAUACUACAAUGGCCGGUACAAAGGGCUGCGAUACCGCGAGGUGGAGCGAAUCCCAGAAAGCCGGUCUCAGUUCGGAUUGGGGUCUGCAACUCGACCCCAUGAAGUCGGAGUCGCUAGUAAUCGCAGAUCAGCAACGCUGCGGUGAAUACGUUCCCGGGCCUUGUACACACCGCCCGUCAAGUCACGAAAGUCGGUAACACCCGAAGCCGGUGGCCUAACCCUUGUGGGGGGAGCCGUCGAAGGUGGGACUGGCGAUUGGGACU